RNAcentral lists this non-coding RNA (185 nucleotides) under Chlamydomonas leiostraca. The record is from RNAcentral. Lineage: Eukaryota; Viridiplantae; Chlorophyta; Chlorophyceae; Chlamydomonadales; Chlamydomonadaceae.
ACCCUGCUCCAGGGCGGCCACACUGUCUUUCUGCUCUUGCUGGGCUGCAGCCUAGCAGCAGCCACUGUGACAACACCGUGUGUUGUGUGUCCUGUUGUAGGCAAAACCCAGAUGAGGUUGAGCCUGGAGACGGAGCAGGCAAAUGGCACAAGUUUGCAGCUUUUGUCCAGCACCAGCAUUACAGG